GCCCAGGGGCGGGAAUCGAACCCACAACCUUCUGCUUACCGGGCAGGUGCCAUGUCCACUAGGCUACCCUGGA
Cordylochernes scorpioides is the source of this 73-nucleotide non-coding RNA. NCBI's taxonomy places the organism in Eukaryota, Metazoa, Arthropoda, Arachnida, Pseudoscorpiones, Chernetidae. The record is from the annotation of a GenBank genome assembly.